This 459-nucleotide ribosomal RNA is filed under the name Vogtia microphylla. RNAcentral's name for it is "Tanacetum microphyllum partial internal transcribed spacer". The record is from RNAcentral. Lineage: Eukaryota; Viridiplantae; Streptophyta; Magnoliopsida; Asterales; Asteraceae.
UCGAACCCUGCAAAGCAGAACGACCCGUGAACACGUAAAAACAACCGAGCGUCGAGUGGAUUAAGCACUUGUUUGAUCCUCUCGAUGCUUUGUCGAUGCGCAUUUACUUGUGUUCUUUUGGACCCGGUGAAUGCGUCAUUGGCGCAAUAACAACCCCCGGCACAAUGUGUGCCAAGGAAAACUAAACUUAAGAAGGCUUGUCUCGUGUUGCCCCGUUUGCGGUGUGCUCAUGGGAUGUGGCUUCUUUAUAAAUCGCGUNGCCCCUAACAAAUCUUAUGUUGGGGGCGGAUAUUGGUCUCCCGUGCUCACGGUGUGGUUGGCCAAAAUAAGGAGUCCCUUCGAUGGACGCACGAACUAGUGGUGGUCGUAAAAACCCUCGUUCUUUGUUCUGUGCUGUUUGUCGCAAGGGAAAACUCUUCAAAUACCCUAACGUGUUGUCUUUGGAUGACGCUUCGACCG